Molecule: long non-coding RNA, 1070 nt
Filed under: Coturnix japonica (Japanese quail)
Lineage: Eukaryota; Metazoa; Chordata; Aves; Galliformes; Phasianidae
Description: lncRNA (ENSCJPG00005009231.1)
Source: RNAcentral
AGACUCUUCCCUGAGUAGUUCAGGCAGAGGACACUGAGCUGCAUAUAGCCCAGCUCUGUUGUGUGCUGUAUGAGUCAGUGCUGCUCCUGAAUGUCUCCAAGAUGCAUGCAUAUCUUCUUGCUAUUCCCAGGGCACAAACAGCAUGGAGAAGCUUAGUAAUGUUUUUAAUUAUUUUAUAUUUUUCCACAGAAAUCUCUUCUGAAUAGUCUGUCCACCUCAAGCAUACUGCUCCACAGUGCUCUUACGCAGUCCUGGGAGAGCAGCAGAGCAAAUGACAUCACUGCCAAGCUCAUCAGUGCUGCCAACUUGUGCCAAGAUUGUCUGAAAGGGAGGCAUCUAGAGUGAAGUUACUUUCCAUAAAAAAACGGCAGAGAACAGGGUGCCACCAGGGGAUGAACCUCACCCUCAAGAAGAGUUCUGCUGCAGCUGGCACACUCCAUUCUCUGAAGAUUGCUAUACUGAUGAUGGAGGAAGCAGAAGGCAGUGUUUUAGAUCAAACCUCCAACCUUUAAAAUCAGAACCAUUUCUGAGCCAGGACAGCCCUGGAGAUGACAAGGAGAGGAACAUAGCAGGCUGGAGAGAGGCUUGCCUGGUGAGAGCAGAGCUGUAGUAGCCCUGGGGCUGUCAAGCAUGGCUCUGGCUCCAGACGUCAGGCACUAUAUAGUGAGUAUGAUUUCCCAUGCAGUUAUGGUGUCCAAUACAUAUCUUAAUGUAAAAUGAAGCACAGCUCAGCAGUGCUCUGAGGGUAAAGAAGAGUUGCUCCUCAGUGUUUAUUCUCAGUGUCUGCACAAAUUUGUAGUGAAAUAUAACUGUAGAAAAAAGGCCCUACUGAUUUGAACAUGAGGAAUAUAAAAUUUCAGUCUUUCUCUGGAAUUAUCAAGGGGAAUGGAAAAGAAAUAAUUUUCCUAUUCUGAAGUACUGAUUGAUCACCAAAAAACUAAAUUCAGAUCCAUAAGGUCUUUCACGUGUUUGGCAAUCUAAGACCUACCAAAACUUCCCAGAAGUCAGUGAUUAGAGACCAAAAUGACUUUGCAGAUUUGGUUUCUGUAUUGGUGUCUAACUUUUACUGU